AUAGGUUAAGUUAAUAAGGGCGCAUGGUGGAUGCCUUGGCACUAGAAGGCGAUGAAGGACGUGACUAACUACGAUAUGCCUCGGUUAGCUGUAAGUAAGCUUACCCGGGGGUUUCCGAAUGGGGCAACCCGAUCUUAAUGAUCAUCAUCUUUUUGAAUUCAUAGAUUAGAUGAAGCAAACGCUGUGAACUGAAACAUCUCAGUAGCAGUAGGAAAGUAAAGAAAUUUCGAUUCCGUCAGUAGCGGCGAGCGAACGCGGAAGAGCCCCAACCUGGAUGCUUGCAUCCAGGGGUUGUAGGACUGAUGUUGAGUUACAAAGGUAUAAGAUAGCAGAAACAGUUGGGAAGCUGUUCCAAAGAGGGUGACAGG
RNAcentral lists this ribosomal RNA (368 nucleotides) under Oenococcus oeni. Its description in RNAcentral is "bacterial LSU rRNA". It matches the Rfam family "Bacterial large subunit ribosomal RNA", at positions 1 to 371 of the family's 2925-position model. Lineage: Bacteria; Bacillati; Bacillota; Bacilli; Lactobacillales; Lactobacillaceae. The record is from RNAcentral.